GUGAAUCAUCAAAUUUUUGAACGCAAAUUGCACUCUCUGGUAUUCCGGAGAGCAUGCCUGUUUGAGGGUCAGUUUUACUAAAAAUCGGUGUGGUUGCUGUCUUUCGUGGUGGCGUACAGGAUUUGGGUCGUCUUGCCUUCGGUUAAGUGCCUUAUAAUUUUGCAUGAUUUUUUUCGAUCGCAUUUAAAUGA
RNAcentral lists this unclassified non-coding RNA (191 nucleotides) under Glomus sp. RNAcentral describes it as "partial contains 5.8S ribosomal RNA and internal transcribed spacer 2". The stretch from base 1 to 71 matches the Rfam family "5.8S ribosomal RNA", at positions 84 to 154 of the family's 154-position model. The record is from RNAcentral. Lineage: Eukaryota; Fungi; Glomeromycota; Glomeromycetes; Glomerales; Glomeraceae.